AUUGAGUUUGAUCCUGGCUCAGGAUGAACGCUGGCAGAGUGCCUAACACAUGCAAGUCGAGCGGCAGCACGGGUAGUUUACUACCUGGUGGCGAGCGGCGGACGGCUGAGUAACGCGUGGGAACGUGCCCCAAAGUGAGGAAUAACUGCCUGAAAGGGUAGCUAAUGCCGCAUAUGCUCUUCGGAGUAAAGUAUUUAUACGCUUUGGGAGCGGCCCGCGUCGGAUUAGGUAGUUGGUGAGGUAAAGGCUCACCAAGACAACGAUCCGUAGCUGGUCUGAGAGGAUGAUCAGCCAGACUGGAACUGAGACACGGUCCAGACUCCUACGGGAGGCAGCAGUGAGGAAUCUUCCACAAUGGACGAAAGUCUGAUGGAGCAACUCCGCGUGCAGGAUGAAGGCCCUCGGGUCGUAAACUGCUUUUAUGAGUGAAGAAUAUGACGGUAACUCAUGAAUAAGGGUCGGCUAACUACGUGCCAGCAGCCGCGGUAAAAUC
RNAcentral lists this ribosomal RNA (493 nucleotides) under uncultured bacterium. Its description in RNAcentral is "bacterial SSU rRNA". It matches the Rfam family "Bacterial small subunit ribosomal RNA", at positions 1 to 526 of the family's 1533-position model. The record is from RNAcentral.